Long non-coding RNA from Eucalyptus grandis, 800 nucleotides. RefSeq lists it as uncharacterized. The transcript has 2 exons. The record is from RefSeq and is a predicted model, not a curated record. NCBI's taxonomy places the organism in Eukaryota, Viridiplantae, Streptophyta, Magnoliopsida, Myrtales, Myrtaceae.
UUGGUUCUUUCAUAAUUUUGGGAACCAUAAUUGAGCCGAUUGAGAGAUUUAAGUGGUUAAAUUUUAGCUUGUAAUCUACAACUUCCUGUGUUGAGAGGAAUUAACCUAUUAGCUGUGAGAUUGGGAAGGGGAAAUUCCUCUUGCUUUUAGAUAGUCUUCACAAUCAAAGAGUAUCUGUUAGUGAUCCAUUAUAAGUAUUUCCAUUGCCUUGUGGAAGUAUAGUAAACCCAGUUACGUGCUUCGGGUCUGUAUGGUUUUGAGGUAUGUCUCUCUUAAGUAUCAUUGCUAAAACUGUCUUGUCUAUACAGAGCAAGCAGAUGAUGAGUUGGCUGAUUCUGGAGGGUGCCCUGGUAUUAUUCCACAGAAAUGCUCUGAACUUGAGAAAAACCAGAAAAACGAGGAGAGGGCUCAGAAGUAGUAAUAGGAAGUCUGGUAAAGAUGCCAAGGAAGUGCAGGAGGCGCGUACACAUUUGCUGGAGGAAGAAAUGAAAAAAUUGAGGCUUGAGUAUCAUAUGGCAAUGGACUGCUUGAGAAGGAGUAUUGGACAGGAUAUUUACUCAUGCUUCCUUUCUAAUGUUGUAUCCAUCAUCCCCCAAGUUCUGAGCUCGGAAACCAUCCAUUACCAUUGCGGGUAUAUCAUUUUAAGCCUUCUUGGUGAUGGACGAUAUUUACCUGUUCAAAUUAAUCACAGUAAGCUCGAUGGUAUAAUUGGAAAGCAAAUAAAAAUGUUCAUAGUAUAUAAUACAUGACACAAAUGAUGGGUGUGGAUAUUAUAUCCUAUAAUGUUUCUUUUGAUGUCA